GUCGAGGGGUAUAGGUUUUCGGACCUAGAGACCGGCGCACGGGUGCGUAACGCGUAUGCAAUCUACCUUUCACAGAGGGAUAGCCCAGAGAAAUUUGGAUUAAUACCUCAUAGUAUAAUACAAUCGCAUGAUUGAAUUAUUAAAGUCACAACGGUGAAAGAUGAGCAUGCGUCCCAUUAGCUAGUUGGUAAGGUAACGGCUUACCAAGGCGACGAUGGGUAGGGGUCCUGAGAGGGAGAUCCCCCACACUGGUACUGAGACACGGACCAGACUCCUACGGGAGGCAGCAGUGAGGAAUAUUGGACAAUGGGCGCAAGCCUGAUCCAGCCAUGCCGCGUGCAGGAUGACGGUCCUAUGGAUUGUAAACUGCUUUUAUACGAGAAGAAACACCUCUACGAGUAGAGACUUGACGGUAUCGUAAGAAUAAGGAUCGGCUAACUCCGUGCCAGCAGCCGCGGUAAUACGGAGGAUCCAAGCGUUAUCCGGAAUCAUUGGGUUUAAAGGGUCCGUAGGCGGUCAGAUAAGUCAGUGGUGAAAGCCCAUCGCUCAACGGUGGAACGGCCAUUGAUACUGUCUGACUUGAAUUAUUAGGAAGUAACUAGAAUAUGUAGUGUAGCGGUGAAAUGCUUAGAGAUUACAUGGAAUACCAAUUGCGAAGGCAGGUUACUACUAAUGGAUUGACGCUGAUGGACGAAAGCGUGGGUAGCGAACAGGAUUAGAUACCCUGGUAGUCCACGCCGUAAACGAUGGAUACUAGCUGUUGGAAGCAAUUUCAGUGGCUAAGCGAAAGUGAUAAGUAUCCCACCUGGGGAGUACGUUCGCAAGAAUGAAACUCAAAGGAAUUGACGGGGGCCCGCACAAGCGGUGGAGCAUGUGGUUUAAUUCGAUGAUACGCGAGGAACCUUACCAAGGCUUAAAUGUAGAUUGACCGGUUUGGAAACAGACUUUUCGCAAGACAAUUUACAAGGUGCUGCAUGGUUGUCGUCAGCUCGUGCCGUGAGGUGUCAGGUUAAGUCCUAUAACGAGCGCAACCCCUGUUGUUAGUUGCCAGCGAGUCAAGUCGGGAACUCUAACAAGACUGCCAGUGCAA
RNAcentral lists this ribosomal RNA (1090 nucleotides) under Flavobacterium psychrolimnae. Its description in RNAcentral is "bacterial SSU rRNA". It matches the Rfam family "Bacterial small subunit ribosomal RNA", at positions 61 to 1160 of the family's 1533-position model. The record is from RNAcentral. Lineage: Bacteria; Pseudomonadati; Bacteroidota; Flavobacteriia; Flavobacteriales; Flavobacteriaceae.